This 6315-nucleotide long non-coding RNA is filed under the name Scleropages formosus (Asian bonytongue). RNAcentral's name for it is "lncRNA (ENSSFOG00015018247.2)". Lineage: Eukaryota; Metazoa; Chordata; Actinopteri; Osteoglossiformes; Osteoglossidae. The record is from RNAcentral.
AUGGGACAGCAGGUCAUCUGCUGGGUGUUUUUCACCCUGUUGACCUUGUCUCCAGUCCUUUGGGCUCAGAGUAUAGUGCAAGUGCAUUCUGGGCUCCAAGUCAGCCGAGGAAAGUCUGUUUAUGUGACCAACAAGGAUCUGCAGCUCAGUCUCCCUGAUGAUGUGAAUUCCUGCAAGGUGGAAGUGGUAUUGAAUGAACCCGUGACACAAAGAGUUGGCAAACUCACACCUCAGGUUUUUGACUGUAACUUCUUACCUGAUGAGGUCAAGUACAUUCAUAAUGGUAGUCCUUUACUGGAGGAGGACACAGUGAUGCUAAGAAUCUACAGAUUUACACAUUCUGAGACUUUCAUAGAGACUGUUCUGCUGAGGGUGAGUGUGGUGGACCCCCAUGACAGCCUUAUCCAGUUUGGGAGAACUCCUUUGGUGGUCCCUGAGUUCUACAGCUUGUCUAACAUCAUUGACAGCAGAGUACUGACAUUCCAGAGCAGACCAGGAGCGAUCUGCAAUGUCCGUCUUCUCAACUCUGAAACUAGCAUGCCAGCAUUUGGACAGCUGGUCAAGGGCGAAUCCUCCAUGUCAACAUACUGCACCUUAGUUUUGUGCUGUUUUCAGACUCGAGACUCAUGUGCUGGUAACAAAGCCUGCAUCCAUGGCGCUAAGGAAGUACGUUUUUUAAAGGCCAACUGUGAGGAAUUCCUGAAAUCAGACUAUAAGUACCAGCAUCUCAAUCCUCCAUCCCCCGAGAUUGAUUACAUUACAAUCAGAGUGGAGCUGCGGGACAACAUCUCCAGGGCACUGUUGGAGACAGAAAGCACUUGGAUCCCAGUCCUAAUUCAUGGUGCCAUGCAGAACCAGCCCCCCCAUGCUGCCUUCAUGUCAAUGUUCAUCCUGGAGGUGGACCAGUUCAUUCUCACUCCCAUGACCACUGCUGCACUCGAUGCCAAGGACGAUGAAACCACUCAAGACCAGUUGGUGUUCAACAUUACUAAGCCCCCACCAGAGGGGUAUGUCACUCACCUGGAUGACCAUACCAAGCCAAUCACCUCCUUUAUCUGGCAAGACUUGCAUGAGAUGAAAAUUGCGUAUCAGCCCCCUAACAUAAGCUACACUGGGAGAAGGAACUAUGAGGUUGAGUUCCAGGCCAUUGACACUUCCUUUGCUACCAGUCCUACCAUACUGGUUCACUUCUCAGUCCGGACCGCAGAAACAAAUGCUCCUCGAGUGUCCUGGAAUAUGGGACUGGAUUUACUGGAAGGUCAAUCCAGACCAAUCACCUGGGAGAAUUUGCAGAUUGUGGACAGUGACAACAUCGAUGCAGUCUAUUUGGUGGCUGUGGAGGGACCUUCACAUGGGCAGCUGAGUGUGCGAGGUGGGAAAGGUUUCAUGUUCAAGGUGCAAGACCUGCAUGAGGGUGUAGUGGUGUACCAUCAUUCAGACAGCGACACCAUAAGGGACCAUAUAGUGUUCCGCAUCUCUGAUGGUCAGCACAGCAUUCGACACAAGUUCCCCAUCAAUAUUCUCCCAAAAGACGAUACACCUCCAUUCCUCAUCAACAAUGUGGCAUUUGAGGUGCAGGAGGGGGGUUCUGUUCUGGUGGAGGAAUACAUGUUAUUAGCCUCAGACUUGGACUCCAGCGAUGACUACAUCUUCUAUAAGGUUCUUACAGUUCCACGAGCCGGAGAGUUGAUUAAGAGGUCAUCUGCCCAGUUCCCAGGUGUGCCAGUGACUAGUUUCCUGCAGAGAGAUUUGUCUCAGGGCUUAAUUUAUUACAGACACUUUGGUGAUGAGGUAUUUGAAGAUUCAUUUGACUUCAUCCUCUCUGACAGCCACCAACCCCCAAAUCUGUCAGAAAGACAUACUGUGGUGGUUCAUGUUUCUCCAGUAAAGGACCAGCUGCCAGAGGAGGUGCCAGGCAGCAUCCGUGCCAUCACAGUGAAGGAGACAGAAAUUGUCCACCUCACCCAGAGCCACCUGCACUUCAGGGACCAAGAGUCUCCUGAGACAGACCUCAUGUAUUCCAUCAUUCAGCCCUGUUUCAGCCCCACAGCAUCCAGGUAUGAUGCCGGCAGGCUGUUCUAUACUGACAGUGCAUACUCCAUGAAGAAGGAUCCCACUGUUCCAGUGCUGAAGUCUUUUACUCAGGUAAUCAAACAAUAUGCACCUCUUAGUAAACUUACAGGCCGUCAUGCAGUGAAUCACCUGAAAGUGGGGUACAUGCCCCCCCUCGAAGACAUUGGACCAGAGCCUCUUUUUGUGCAGUUUAUCUUCUCUCUGAAUGACCAGCACGGUGGCACUCUGAGCGGCCUUGUCUUCAACAUUACCGUGAUGCCAGUGGACAACCAGCCUCCUGAGAUGUUCACCAACUUGAUGAGGGUGGAGGAGGGAGGAAGUGGCUUCGUGACCGAAGAGCACCUCCUGGUGCGGGACACGGAUAGCCAGGACACCCAGCUGAUGUUGCAGCUUCAAACAGCUCCUCGGCAUGGACAGCUGGAGCUGCAGGGUAUAGCGUUACUGUCAGGGGACAACUUUACUGUCCAGGACCUGAGGAGGCUCAGAGUCAGGUAUAUUCACGAUGACAGCGAAACUCUUGAAGACAGUAUUGACCUCAAAGCAACAGAUGGCACAAACUCUGCUUAUGGAUCACUCUCUGUGCAGAUCCUGCCUGUGAAUGAUGAGCCGCCCCUGCUCGGUGCCGGGCUACGAUCAGGCCUGGAGUGUGCAGAGGGGGGACGUGUGCAGGUGAGCGCGGACUACCUGUCUGCCACGGAUGCAGACAGUGAUGACGCCGAGCUCAUGUACAUGUUGGCACGGAGGCCAGCCCAAGGAGAACUGCAGAGAGCAGGCAUGGCAGUGGAAAAAUUCUCUCAGUGGGAUGUUGUCCAGGGGUUGAUCUUCUACGUGCACACAGGUGGUGAGAUCGGACCCCACCCUGUCUUAGACCCCGUCACCUUGAUUGUGUCAGAUGGAGAAGCUGGCCCUCUGGAGGGCUGCUGCCAUGGAGAUGCUCCACCACCACCUGUCCCUUUGCAUGGAUUCCUUCCUGUAUACGACCUCAACAUCACUGUACUUCCUGUCAAUAACCUGCCCCCUGUUAUCACACUAGGAGACAUGAUUGUGGUGGAUGAGGGUUCCUCUGCUUGUCUCUGUGGGGGGUUUCUGGGGGCAACUGAUCCUGAUACACCCCAGGACCAGCUCCUGUUUUCCAUUGAUGUUCCACCCCAGUAUGGCUUUAUAGAGAACACCUUGCCCUCACCCGGGUUUGAGAAGAGCAACGCAGGACUCAGAGUUUACUCUUUCAGCUGGCUGCACCUCAAUGCAGGGUACAUCAACUAUGUCCAGUCUCAGCAUGAAGGGACAGAGCCUGGAGCUGACCACUUUGUUGUGACAGUCAGCGAUGGGGUGCAGAGGUCAGCCUCAGUUCCCUUCUACAUAAUCAUCAGUCCUACAAAUGAUGAGAUGCCCACACUGCUCCUCAGCAACUUCUCUGUGAUGGAGGGAGGCAUGAAGGACUUGACUCCACAUAUUUUGGAUGCGGUGGAUUUAGAUGUCCCCACAGACACACUCACCCUCUCAGUUGUGGUGCCACCAGCCCACGGGAUGCUACUGAAUGGAAUCUACGGAGAGCAGAUGAGCCGCUACAGGGAGAUGGGACCUGAACUCCUCCAGAGAAGCCUCAGUGUGAUGGAUUUCACCCUGCAGGAACUUCGUCACGGAAUGAAGAUCAUAUACAUGCACGAUGACACGGAAACCCUCAAGGACGCUUUCACCAUGCAGCUGACAGAUGGCAGGCACACAGUCCAGGGGACGGCGCACGUCCGCGUCCUACCAGUCAAUGAUGAAAAGCCACGGCUGCUGAAAAAUACUGGUCUGGAAGUGGAGGCAAUGGAGAAGAGAAUUAUCUCCAGUGUGGUAUUGGAUGCAGAAGACCUGGACACCCCCAUACAUAAAUUGUACUACAUCCUCAGUGUUGGCCCCAAGUUCGGACAGCUGCAGAUGAAGGUCAAGGAAGGCUGGAUUCAUCUGAGACCAGGCCAGAACUUCACGCAAGAUGAUGUGGAGAUGAACCGCCUGUGGUACCUGCACACAACCAUGCAAGGAACGAAAGGUCACGACAGCUUCCACUUUUUCCUCACCGAUGGGGAGCACAAAUCUUUGCCCCACAGCUUCUUCAUCUCGCUCCGCACAGUACGAAAAGGGGACAUCACCCUUGUCACCAGGCCCAUCACCUUGAUGGAAGGUCACAGGGUCGUCCUGAACACAGACAUCCUGUUGGCCAUGGACAACACAGGCAAAGCAGAAGAGCUGGUGUACACGGUAUCGGUUCCUCCGAACCACGGGCACCUUCAUGCAGUGCAGCACCCUGGCAUCGCCCUCACCAGCUUCACCCAGCUGGAUGUGGCAGCCCAUCGAGUAUGCUAUACCCACGAUAACAGCCGCUCAGCCAAGCAAGAUUCCUUCAGCUUUGUCAUCAGCAAUGGUGUCACAUCGAAAAGUGGCUCCCUGCUCUUCAAUGUGGAACAUGGUGACCGCAUCCCUCCUACCCUAGUGACCAACAAAGGGCUCCAGCUCAUGGAGGGUACAGUGGCACUAAUCUCUCAGGACAGUCUAGAGCUGACCGACCCAGACACCACAGUGGAUAACUUGACUUAUGUUGUAACUCAGCAACCCCUUCACGGAAGGUUACUACUAAGAGGACAGCCUCUCUCCCAACCAAGAUUCACACAGGGUGAUGUGAACAACUUGGACCUGACCUACCGGCAGCAGAGUGUAAAGGCCCAGAUGGAUAAGUUUGCUUUCCUGCCCUCCGAUGGUACAAACAAAGGGUUUCUGCUGCAUGGCCAGCUGAGAGAGGAUCCAGUCAUUUUCAUAAUACAGGUGGAGCAUGUAGAUAAAAGCCCCCCAAGCCUGGUGACCAAGAGAAGCCCUAGUACAGUGGAGAACCUGCAUGAUGGCAGGCAGGGCAUCUACAUCACCUCCAGAGACCUGCGGGCAUCUGACCCUGACAGUCCAGAUCAGGAGCUGGAGUUCACUAUCCUCAGACCACCACAUUUUGGGCACUUAGAGAACAUCCUCACAGGGGGAUACAUAAGAGGCCGCUUCACACAGAAGGACCUGAACCAGCGUGCGGUGCUGUACAUUAUUGACCCCAGUGUGGAAGUGACAGGAGACAGCUUUGAGCUCCAAGUCAGUGACUCUGCAGGAAACACCAUGCUGCCGGAAGUCCUGGAGCUGAAAUGGUCUCGUGUAGAGCUGUCAGCGACGUGUUUCCGUGUUUGUGAGAACAUGGGGGUGUUGCCCCUUCAAGUGACACGCACCGGGAACAGCGCAGACCCUGCCUAUGUCAGCAUCCAGGUGGAAGAGGGCACUGCCAAAGUGGGGAAAGAUUUUACUCAUAGCUCAGCCAGUUUGAUCCAGUUUGAUACAGGGGUCAAUAUCAAAAGUUGGAAAAUCAAUCUUAAGGAUGACGGACUGGAGGAGAACCAUGAGAACUUUGAGGUGGUCUUGAAAGCGCAGAAGAAUGCAGUUCUGGGUCAGAAAAACCGAGCAACUGUAGAAAUUGUGGACCCCAGAGGAGGGAGUUGUGACCCACAUGAGUUAAUAGUUGAGGAGGAGCAGAAACAGACCCAACCAUUUCCUCCCCCUCCUGUCCACAUACCACCUUCACGCCCUGAGGAAGCGCAGGUCCCCUACUCACAAGCAGAUUUCCCCUCGGAAGACCACCGGCCUCCUCUUUGGGGAGACAUCCCGAAACGUCACCCCUUCCCGGACUACACUGCGGGAGAGGUACAGGAUCAGGCCUACCCAAGUGCACGGAGGAGGCAACUGAGAGUCCUGGGCAACCAGGAGCACAAAGUAAGAGGUACUGGGAAGCCCAGUGGCAGCAUCUGCCCUGCAGGCUGGACCUCCCACAAGGGGAACUGUUACACCCUGAGCCAGGGCAGGGCCAGCUGGAGCAGCGCUCAACAAGCCUGCACCUUAAUGUAUGUUAAUUUGGCAAGUGUCCACUCCAAAAAAGACAUGAAGUGGCUAUGGAAGUUUGCCAGCAAGCAGCCGUUCUGGAUCGGGCUGAGUGGCACACCAGGGCAGUGGGCCUGGACUGAUGGCCGCUUCAUGACAUUCUCCAGGCUGAGGAGCCACAGCAAUGCUGAAUAUCAGUCCCUGGAUAGCACUGGUCUCUACUGUGUGCUGGCCCAGAACCAGAGGACUUGGACACCAGAGAACUGCACUGCAGGCCCAGAAUAUAAAUACAUAUGCUCCGCAGCAGUCCAGGACAUCCUCAUGUCACAGCAAAGACCAUCUAGUACAAAAUAG